RNAcentral lists this non-coding RNA (114 nucleotides) under Dorea sp. Its description in RNAcentral is "Glycine sequence". It matches the Rfam family "Glycine riboswitch aptamer". From Rfam's summary of the family: This family represents the bacterial glycine riboswitch. Glycine riboswitches usually consist of two metabolite-binding aptamers domains with similar structures in tandem. Lineage: Bacteria; Bacillati; Bacillota; Clostridia; Lachnospirales; Lachnospiraceae. The record is from RNAcentral.
AGAUGUUUCCUAAGAGAGAACCGAAGAGUUGUUCGGUCGCCGAAGAGGCAAACGGAGCGUAAAAGUGAGUGUGCGUGAUGUGAAACUUUCAGGCAAAAGGAGGAGGAAAUGGAC